UUUUUGUUCUUCUCUUAGGGAGUCCAGCUGAGCUGAAGCAGUGAAGAUGAGUGCUGACUCAAGAAGUCAUUUUGCUGUGUUGUACAGCAGAAAAGCAAUUCAUCUGCAGCACUCAGUCAAGGAGAGACUUCACAGAAAAAGGCAGUUGUUAGAGCCAGGAUGUGCUGUGAGCAAGGCUGGCCAGCUCAGGAGGGGAGCAUCUCGUACGGAACGUCUUUGCACUGAUGGAGGGAAGAACU
This 239-nucleotide long non-coding RNA is filed under the name Cyanistes caeruleus (blue tit). Its description in RNAcentral is "lncRNA (ENSCCEG00000020449.1)". Lineage: Eukaryota; Metazoa; Chordata; Aves; Passeriformes; Paridae. The record is from RNAcentral.